CAGCCGCCGCGGGAAUACGUAGGGUGCAAGCGUUAGUCGGAAUUACUGGGCGUAAAGCGUGCGCAGGCGGUUAUAUAAGUCAGAUGUGAAGUCCCCGGGCUCAACCUGGGAACUGCAUUUGAGACUGUAUGGCUAGAGUGUGUCAGAGGGGGGUAGAAUUCCACGUGUAGCAGUGAAAUGCGUAGAUAUGUAGAGGAAUACCGAUGGCGAAGGCAGCCCCCUGGGAUAACACUGACGCUCAUGCACGAAAGCGUGGGGAGCAAACAGGAUUAGAUACCCCAGUAGUCCCUGUCUCUUAUAC
This 301-nucleotide ribosomal RNA is filed under the name uncultured bacterium. RNAcentral describes it as "partial 16S ribosomal RNA". It matches the Rfam family "Bacterial small subunit ribosomal RNA", at positions 509 to 807 of the family's 1533-position model. The record is from RNAcentral.